GCCUGGGUGGCUCAAUGGUUGAGCAUCUGCCUUUGGCUCAGGACAUGAUCCUGGAGACCUGGGAUUGAGUCCCACAUCAGGCU
RNAcentral lists this transfer RNA (83 nucleotides) under Canis lupus familiaris (dog). It matches the Rfam family "tRNA". From Rfam's summary of the family: Transfer RNA (tRNA) molecules are approximately 80 nucleotides in length. Their secondary structure includes four short double-helical elements and three loops (D, anti-codon, and T loops). Further hydrogen bonds mediate the characteristic L-shaped molecular structure. tRNAs have two regions of fundamental functional importance: the anti-codon, which is responsible for specific mRNA codon recognition, and the 3' end, to which the tRNAs corresponding amino acid is attached (by aminoacyl-tRNA synthetases). tRNAs cope with the degeneracy of the genetic code in two manners: having more than one tRNA (with a specific anti-codon) for a particular amino acid; and 'wobble' base-pairing, i.e. permitting non-standard base-pairing at the 3rd anti-codon position. RNAcentral also lists the same sequence under 1 other name. Lineage: Eukaryota; Metazoa; Chordata; Mammalia; Carnivora; Canidae. The record is from Rfam by way of RNAcentral.